RNAcentral lists this ribosomal RNA (777 nucleotides) under uncultured Glomus. RNAcentral describes it as "SSU rRNA". It matches the Rfam family "Eukaryotic small subunit ribosomal RNA", at positions 325 to 1103 of the family's 1831-position model. The record is from RNAcentral. Lineage: Eukaryota; Fungi; Glomeromycota; Glomeromycetes; Glomerales; Glomeraceae.
AUGGUAGGAUAGAGGCCUACCAUGGUGGUAACGGGUAACGGGGUGUUAGGGCACGACACCGGAGAGGGAGCCUGAGAAACGGCUACCACAUCCAAGGAUGGCAGCAGGCGCGCAAAUUACCCAAUCCCGACACGGGGAGGUAGUGACAAUAAAUAACAAUACGGGGUUCUUUAGGAUCUCGUAAUUGGAAUGAGUACAAUUUAAAUCUCUUAACGAGGAACAAUUGGAGGGCAAGUCUGGUGCCAGCAGCCGCGGUAAUUCCAGCUCCAAUAGCGUAUAUUAAAGUUGUUGCAGUUAAAAAGCUCGUAGUUGAAUUUCGGGGUCAGUAGGUCGGUCGUGCCACUGGUAUGAACUGGUUUUACUGAUUCCUCCCUCUUGAAGAACUGUAAUGCCAUUAAUUUGGUGUUGCAGGGAGUCAGGACUGUUACUUUGAAAAAAUUAGAGUGUUUAAAGCAGGCUUUAGCUUGAAUACAUUAGCAUGGAAUAAUGAAAUAGGACGUUUGAUCCUAUUUUGUUGGUUUCUAGGAUUGACGUAAUGAUUAAUAGGGAUAGUUGGGGGCAUUAGUAUUCAAUUGUCAGAGGUGAAAUUCUUGGAUUUAUUGAAGACUAACUACUGCGAAAGCAUUUGCCAAGGAUGUUUUCAUUAAUCAAGAACGAAAGUUAGGGGAUCGAAGACGAUCAGAUACCGUCGUAGUCUUAACCAUAAACUAUGCCGACUAGGGAUCGGAUGAUGUUAAUUUUUUAAUGACUCAUUCGGCGCCUUACGGGAAACCAAAG